This 379-nucleotide ribosomal RNA is filed under the name uncultured bacterium. RNAcentral's name for it is "bacterial SSU rRNA". It matches the Rfam family "Bacterial small subunit ribosomal RNA", at positions 30 to 410 of the family's 1533-position model. The record is from RNAcentral.
AUUGAACGCUGGCGGCAUGCCUUACACAUGCAAGUCGAACGGCAGCGCGGGGCAACCUGGCGGCGAGUGGCGAACGGGUGAGUAAUAUAUCGGAACAUACCCUAGAGUGGGGAUAACGUAGCGAAGUUACGCUAAUACCGCAUACGCACUAAGGUGGAAAGUGGGGGAUUCGCAAGAACCUCAUGCUCAUGGAGUGGCCGAUAUCUGAUUAGCUAGUUGGUGAGGUAAAGGCUCACCAAGGCAACGAUCAGUAGCUGGUUUGAGAGAACGACCAGCCACACUGGAACUGAGACACGGUCCAGACUCCUACGGGAGACAGCAGUGGGGAAUUUUGGACAAUGGGGGGCAACCCUGAUCCAGCAAUGCCGCGUGAGUGAAG